RNAcentral lists this unclassified non-coding RNA (160 nucleotides) under soil metagenome. RNAcentral's name for it is "partial internal transcribed spacer 1". The record is from RNAcentral.
CAGACGUUCCUUACGGUAUACCUCCCAACCCCUUGUUGAAUUAUACCUAUAGUUGCUUGGCGGAUCCGUCCGCGACCACCGCUUAAAGCUGGUCAGUGCCCGCCAGAGGACCCUAAACUCUGUUUUUAGUGAAUUUCUGAGUAAACUAAUAUAAUAAUUA